AAACAACUUCAAGGGCCUUUCCAUGCCCAAAGAUACUGCAGCAGAGCCAUCUAUGAACGACAGAUGAAUUAGCUUAGAGUCUUAGUUCUAAACCACCUCCCCGGAUAGUCGGAAAUCCCACUGGCUGGAGGAAUAAAUAAAUUCCUUAUCCUGUCAAGGAAGCUCCUCCCAAGCUACAAAAGUUUCAGAGAGCAAAGGGACCAAGUGACCCCAGAGAUGAAAUCUGUGACUCUCUGGUGGAGCAACAUGAUAGUAAUAAAUGAAGGUUGAGUGCCUGCUGUAUAAAGCAACCUCUGGAGUGCCUGAUAUCUACUAACUCUUUUAGCAUCCACUCGACCCUGUGAGAUGCGUAUCACUUUAUUGUAUCUACCACUGUAAAAAAGAAUGAACCAAGCUACAGCAAUAUUAUGUUGCUUGCCCUGAGUCACACAGCUGAGUAAGUCACAGGAGUUUGUGCUCAUAAUGACUUUGCUAUGCUGAUGUUUGAACCUGGUACCAUUCAGCGACCCUGCAGCUAAUAUGGCUCCAUGCUCUACUUCUGGAAAAGCCGAGUUCCUGCAGCCUUGUCCUACAUCACCCAAAAGAGCUGGAAAAGAAUGCAGUGAGUUCCAUUCUAUUUGUUCCGAGAAUAGGAAAGCCACAUUGAAGCAGCGUCUUAAAGAGAAAUCUAUAGUUAGGAGUGAUGAAGAUUUGAAACAGAUGUCAGCAGAAAGAAAAAGAGAGAGGCACCAUGAUAAUUAUACUCAGUGAUGCUUUUUAAAUGGCAUAUAUUCAGUUAAAUAUAGGGAGGUUUGCUGCUAGCCAUAUGAACAAAGCACAAGAGAAUUCCUGGAUCGAGGCAGACUUAAAGAGACAUUGAAAAAAAAAAACAAAAUUCAAAAUUUUGACCUAGUGCAGGAAGAAGUGCAAGUACAGGGGAAGUGGAGGGAAGGAGUGGGGAGGCUGGCACAGAGAUGGCACGGGCAGACACGAGCAGAUUGACUCACCAGGACUGUCAUUGGGCCACCACUCUUAGCAGGAAUUUCACCAUUGAAUGACCUAAUUAUUGCCUUAGGAAAAACACAAGAGCUCCUGUCCAUAACAGGAUAACAGAUGUAUUUCAGUGGAGCACAGAAUAGGCCGGAUGGUGACUAGCAAGAAUAAAAGCCCAAGUGGACUGAAGAAUCCAUCCAAGAUAUGGUCAGGACGGGCUUGUGGAAAACUCAUGCAAUAAUGAGAAGAAAUAUUAUUUGUCACUACCUUUUUUGAGCAGACGUGUGGAUAAACCUACUUUGGGGUAGGAGCUGAGCCUCAGGCCUGUGACCGCUAGAAGCUGGACUUGAAGCCAGGAAAGAGGCCGCUCUUCCCAGGAGUUGGGAGAAUUUGACUUUGGUGUAGAAUCCAGAAGGCAGGAGAGAGGGUACCAGGGAAGAGCUGGGGGUGGAGGCUAAAAAAGAAGCCCUGGUUGCCAAAGCCAGGAGGUGACUUUAUGGGAGAGCAGCAGUGACUAAGCCAGGAAUUGACUUCGCAGGAGAGCAGCAGUGACUAAUUCAGGAGGUGACUUUGCGGAAGAGCAGAAGUAACUAAGCCAGGAGGUGACUUUGCAGGAGAGCUGCAGUGAUUGUGAAGUUGUUCACAUACAGGGAGUCAUGGGAUACACUCUACCAUCUCCCGUGGAAAAUCCUCGAUAAGCACUCUCACUCUAGCAAGCCCUUUUGGUGCUCCCAGUCACAUCGCCUGGCCCACGCUGGGUGAGAGCUCACAUGCGCUUCUGGUCCUGGCCUUCUCAGACACCACAGUAGCUGCCCACCCUACAAAAGACCUGGAAGGGGAGGGGAGCCUGUGCCACUGCAGCCAGAGGAUGAAUGUCCUGUCAUGAACAAUUCCUGGGGGCACUCUGUACAUUUUGCAAAAGUCCUGCCAGAAUGGAAACUUGCUGUCUACAGCAGCGACCUUGAUAACACAUCAUUUGAUUUUUCCUCCUUUUGUGACUCAUGCUCCUGUUCCCUCACCCUGGCUUCCUGAGAUCACCUCCCAGAUGAACUCCCUGCACUGAAUUCUGGUCUCAGUUUGCUUUGGGGAGAACUCAAAACUAAGACAUUCACCACUGUGUUUGUGUGAGCCAAAUCUUCACAUCACGAGCAGGCGCUAUGUCUGCGUUCAGCCAGACAAAGAGCAAACCAGCAACUGCCCACACGAAUGCAGUCCAUGGACAAGAGGAGAGUGAUAGCCGAGCGACUUUGGGACUUGCUGUCAAAGAUACCUGUCUCCCUCUCUUUCAUUCUCUUUACCUUUCCAUCAGACUAUGUGGCUGCCUCAUCCCCCCGUGUCCUGCAAGCAAGGAUAUUAACUAUACAAACAGUCCAGCUUAAAACAAAAUGGGCAGAAUAUUUGAAUAGACACUUCACAAAGGAAGACAAACAAAUUACCAAUAAGUGUGUUAACAAUUGUUAACAUCGUUAAUCAUCAGGGAAGUGGAAAUUAAUACCACAAGGAGAAAUCACUACACACUAAAGUGGCUAAAAUGAAAAAGAGUAAUGACAUCAAAUCCUAAUCUGAGUAUAGAGCAACUGUUGAUGGAAAUAUAAGAUGGUACAGCCACUUUGGAUAAAAUAAAAUGAUGCAACCACUUUGGAAAAGUUUGGCAGCUUUAUGUAAAACUAAGCAAAUACCUUUGGCCCAGCAAUUCCACUCAAGCAAUCCUUCCCUAAAGAAAUAAAAAUAUAUAUCCACCAAAAGAUUUGUGCAAGAA
RNAcentral lists this long non-coding RNA (2731 nucleotides) under Pongo abelii (Sumatran orangutan). RNAcentral's name for it is "lincRNA". Lineage: Eukaryota; Metazoa; Chordata; Mammalia; Primates; Hominidae. The record is from RNAcentral.